RNAcentral lists this ribosomal RNA (253 nucleotides) under uncultured bacterium. RNAcentral describes it as "partial 16S ribosomal RNA". It matches the Rfam family "Bacterial small subunit ribosomal RNA", at positions 524 to 776 of the family's 1533-position model. The record is from RNAcentral.
CACGUAGGGCGCAAGCGUUGUCCGGAAUAAUUGGGCGUAAAGCGUCUGUAGGUGGUUGACCAAGUCUGUUGUUAAAAAUCAGGGCUCAACCCUGAUCCGGCAACAGAAACUAGUAAACUUGAGUACGGUAGGGGCAGAGGGAAUUCUCGGUGUAGUGGUGAAAUACGUAGAUAUCGAGAAGAACACCAAUAGCGAAAGCACUCUGCUGGGCCGAAACUGACAUUGAGAGACGAAAGCUAGGGGAGCAAAAGGG